RNAcentral lists this ribosomal RNA (437 nucleotides) under uncultured bacterium. RNAcentral describes it as "bacterial SSU rRNA". It matches the Rfam family "Bacterial small subunit ribosomal RNA", at positions 28 to 485 of the family's 1533-position model. The record is from RNAcentral.
GAUGAACGCUGGCGGCGCGCCUAACACAUGCAAGUCGAACGGCACCUAUCUUCGGAUAGAAGCGAGUGGCGAACGGCUGAGUAACACGUGGAGAACCUGCCCCCUCCCCCGGGAUAGCCGCCCGAAAGGACGGGUAAUACCGGAUACCCCCGGGCGCCGCAUGGCGCCCGGGCUAAAGCCCCGACGGGAGGGGAUGGCUCCGCGGCCCAUCAGGUAGACGGCGGGGUGACGGCCCACCGUGCCGACAACGGGUAGCCGGGUUGAGAGACCGACCGGCCAGAUUGGGACUGAGACACGGCCCAGACUCCUACGGGAGGCAGCAGUGGGGAAUCUUGCGCAAUGGGGGGAACCCUGACGCAGCGACGCCGCGUGCGGGACGGAGGCCUUCGGGUCGUAAACCGCUUUCAGCAGGGAAGAGUCAAGACUGUACCUGCAGA